Molecule: ribosomal RNA, 467 nt
Filed under: uncultured bacterium
Lineage: Bacteria
Description: partial 16S ribosomal RNA
Rfam family: Bacterial small subunit ribosomal RNA
Source: RNAcentral
ACGAACGCUGGCGGCGUGCUUCACACAUGCAAGUCGAACGGAAAGGCCCUGCUUUUGUGGGGUGCUCGAGUGGCGAACGGGUGAGUAACACGUGAGUAACCUGCCCUUGACUUUGGGAUAACUUCAGGAAACUGGGGCUAAUACCGGAUAGGAGCUCCUGCUGCAUGGUGGGGGUUGGAAAGUUUCGGCGGUUGGGGAUGGACUCGCGGCUUAUCAGCUUGUUGGUGGGGUAGUGGCUUACCAAGGCUUUGACGGGUAGCCGGCCUGAGAGGGUGACCGGCCACAUUGGGACUGAGAUACGGCCCAGACUCCUACGGGAGGCAGCAGUGGGGAAUAUUGCACAAUGGGCGGAAGCUUGAUGCAGCAACGCCGCGUGCGGGAUGACGGCCUUCGGGUUGUAAACCGCUUUCGCCUGUGACGAAGCGUGAGUGACGGUAAUGGGUAAAGAAGCACCGGCUAACUACGUG